This is a long non-coding RNA of Gymnodraco acuticeps, 338 nucleotides long. RefSeq lists it as uncharacterized. The transcript is spliced from 3 exons. NCBI's taxonomy places the organism in Eukaryota, Metazoa, Chordata, Actinopteri, Perciformes, Bathydraconidae. The record is from RefSeq and is a predicted model, not a curated record.
CACCGAGAAGGUUUUGGCAACGUACCACUGGUCCACUAUGCGGGAGGACGUGAAGAAAUGGGUUGAUGAGUGUCCCCGCUGCCAGCAACACGAGGUCAUUAAAACGGUUGCACCCGUACUGCAUCCCAUUCAUGUUCCCGAGGCAUGGACUGUCCUUGGUGUGGAUCUCAUUGGCCCACUUCCCUCCACUGCUAAGGGCAAAAGAUACAUUCUAACAGCGACUGAUCUGUUCACAAAGUGGGUGGUAGCAAAAACGCUCUACCACAAAACAGCUGUUGAGGUCUCAAAAAAGAUUGUAAAUAUUCUUCUCGAUUUCGGUCUUGUCGAGAAGAUCAUUA